Leptonychotes weddellii (Weddell seal) is the source of this 915-nucleotide non-coding RNA. The record is from RefSeq and is a predicted model, not a curated record. Lineage: Eukaryota; Metazoa; Chordata; Mammalia; Carnivora; Phocidae.
UUGGCGCGUCCCGGGAUCUCCGCGCGUCACUUCAGGGAGCCCUCGCCUCCCGGAGGAGCUCGGGAAUUUUGAAAGAAGUUCUGUGGGGGCAGAGGUGAAGAAGUGACCCCGUCUGCUCUCUACAUCCAGGAAACUGCCUGACUAUGAACUAGAUCUUGAAGGAUGAGCAUAUGUCUUGACAACUUAAGAGGAAAACAAUUCCUGGCAGAAAUAAGAGCAUAUGUACAUCAGCUAAGGAUGCUAGGAGCUGCACACCUUCCCUAUGGACAUCUUGUUACCAGUCUACUUGCACACUGGAUUCUGAUUCAUUUUCAUGAAACAGUGGCUUCAUCAUGUCACUCUCCAACUCCAAAAUUUAUAACAACUUACUGUCUGAGGGAUAAAUGUCAAAUUCUUGAACCUGCUACUCAAAUUUCUACAUUUUUAUUUGACAAUGGAAAUACUUAAAACUAGUCACCAAAGGCUCUUCCCACCCAUCAAAAUGUAAUAAAUGAGAAGUGACUUAAGAGUAGUAAUGUAAUUUUAACUUUGAAUUAAACCACCUGACUGGAAAGAUAACUCCUUGAUAGCUCUUUGCUACUAAAUUAUAGAAUACAGAAGAUGACUCUCACACUCAAUAAUGUGUUGACCUGUUUCAGUUACAAAGUCAAGGAAAUACCAUUUUGGGGGAAGAGAUACUUCUGUAGGUCUUCACACAAUUCUGAAUCCGUUCAUAAUGGAAUUUGUUGGAAGUGUGAAAACUUCCCAAUUCUUCCAGUUACUAGAUACAUCAAGAAAAGGUCCCCUGAGUCUCUUCACUCUUGUAGCAGAUCUAAGACUGCAGCCCAAUACAGUAAGCUUAGUCGUAUAUAGCUACUGAGCACUUGAAAUGUGGCUAUUGUGACUGAGGAACUGAAUAUUUAAUUUUAGUUAAAU